RNAcentral lists this ribosomal RNA (728 nucleotides) under uncultured bacterium. Its description in RNAcentral is "bacterial SSU rRNA". It matches the Rfam family "Bacterial small subunit ribosomal RNA", at positions 66 to 808 of the family's 1533-position model. The record is from RNAcentral.
GAUUAAACUUUCCUUCGGGAAAGAUAUAAAGUGGCGCACGGGUGAGUAACACGUAGGUAAUCUACCUUUGAGUGGGGAAUAACUUAGGGAAACUUAAGCUAAUACCGCAUAAUGCAGCGGCACCUUCGGGUGACAGUUGUUAAAGGAGCAAUCCGCUUAAAGAGGAGCCUGCGGCAGAUUAGCUAGUUGGUAAGGUAAUGGCUUACCAAGGCUACGAUCUGUAACCGACCUGAGAGGGUGGUCGGUCACACUGACACUGAAUAACGGGUCAGACUCCUACGGGAGGCAGCAGUCGGGAAUUUUGGGCAAUGGGCGAAAGCCUGACCCAGCAACGCCGCGUGAAGGAUGAAGUAUUUCGGUAUGUAAACUUCGAAAGAAUGGGAAGAAUAAAUGACGGUACCAUUUAUAAGGUCCGGCUAACUACGUGCCAGCAGCCGCGGUAAUACGUAGGGACCAAGCGUUGUUCGGAUUUACUGGGCGUAAAGGGCGCGUAGGCGGCAAAUCAAGUCAGCUGUGAAAUCUCAGGGCUUAACCCUGAACGGUCAGCUGAUACUGUUUUGCUAGAGUGCAGAAGGGGCAAUCGGAAUUCUUGGUGUAGCGGUGAAAUGCGUAGAUAUCAAGAGGAACACCUGAGGUGAAGACGGGUUGCUGGGCUGACACUGACGCUGAGGCGCGAAAGCUAGGGUAGCAAACGGGAUUAGAUACCCCGGUAGUCCUAGCCCUAAACG